This 1261-nucleotide ribosomal RNA is filed under the name Salmonella enterica. Its description in RNAcentral is "partial 23S ribosomal RNA". It matches the Rfam family "Bacterial large subunit ribosomal RNA", at positions 1699 to 2925 of the family's 2925-position model. Lineage: Bacteria; Pseudomonadati; Pseudomonadota; Gammaproteobacteria; Enterobacterales; Enterobacteriaceae. The record is from RNAcentral. RNAcentral also lists the same sequence under 1 other name.
CUCGGGUGAAGGAACUAGGCAAAAUGGUGCCGUAACUUCGGGAGAAGGCACGCUGACACGUAGGUGAAGUGGUUUACCCAUGGAGCUGAAGUCAGUCGAAGAUACCAGCUGGCUGCAACUGUUUAUUAAAAACACAGCACUGUGCAAACACGAAAGUGGACGUAUACGGUGUGACGCCUGCCCGGUGCCGGAAGGUUAAUUGAUGGGGUCAGCGCAAGCGAAGCUCCUGAUCGAAGCCCCGGUAAACGGCGGCCGUAACUAUAACGGUCCUAAGGUAGCGAAAUUCCUUGUCGGGUAAGUUCCGACCUGCACGAAUGGCGUAAUGAUGGCCAGGCUGUCUCCACCCGGGACUCAGUGAAAUUGAACUCGCUGUGAAGAUGCAGUGUACCCGCGGCAAGACGGAAAGACCCCGUGAACCUUUACUAUAGCUUGACACUGAACACUGGUCCUUGAUGUGCAGGAUAGGUGGGAGGCUUUGAAGUGUGGACGCCAGUCUGCAUGGAGCCGACCUUGAAAUACCACCCUUUAAUGGCUGGUGUUCUAACGUGGGCCCGUGAACCGGGUUGCGGACAGUGUCUGGUGGGUAGUUUGACUGGGGCGGUCUCCUCCUAAAGAGUAACGGAGGAGCACGAAGGUUGGCUAAUCCUGGUCGGACAUCAGGAGGUUAGUGCAAUGGCAUAAGCCAGCUUGACUGCGAGCGUGACGGCGCGAGCAGGUGCGAAAGCAGGUCAUAGUGAUCCGGUGGUUCUGAAUGGAAGGGCCAUCGCUCAACGGAUAAAAGGUACUCCGGGGAUAACAGGCUGAUACCGCCCAAGAGUUCAUAUCGACGGCGGUGUUUGGCACCUCGAUGUCGGCUCAUCACAUCCUGGGGCUGAAGUAGGUCCCAAGGGUAUGGCUGUUCGCCAUUUAAAGUGGUACGCGAGCUGGGUUUAGAACGUCGUGAGACAGUUCGGUCCCUAUCUGCCGUGGGCGCUGGAAGAUUGAGGGGGGCUGCUCCUAGUACGAGAGGACCGGAGUGGACGCAUCACUGGUGUUCGGGUUGUCAUGCCAAUGGCACUGCCCGGUAGCUACAUGCGGAAGAGAUAAGUGCUGAAAGCAUCUAAGCACGAAACUUGCCCCGAGAUGAAUCUUCCCUGAGCCUUUAAGGCUCCUGAAGGAACGUUGAAGACGACGACGUUGAUAGGCCGGGUGUGUAAGCGCAGCGAUGCGUUGAGCUAACCGGUACUAAUGAACCGUGAGGCUUAACCUUACAACGCCGAAG